GACGGGGCCCGCACAAGCGGAGGAACAUGUGGUUUAAUUCGAUGAUACGCGAGGAACCUUACCCGGGCUUGAAAUGCAUCUGACCGGCCUUGAAAGAGGUUUUCCCUUCGGGGCAGAUGUGUAGGUGCUGCAUGGCUGUCGUCAGCUCGUGUCGUGAGAUGUUGGGUUAAGUCCCGCAACGAGCGCAACCCUUGCCUUUAGUUGCCAGCAGUUCGGCUGGGCACUCUAAAGGGACUGCCGGUGUUAAACCGGAGGAAGGUGGGGAUGACGUCAAGUCCUCAUGGCCUUUAUGACCAGGGCUACACACGUACUACAAUGGCCGAUACAAAGGGCAGCGACAUCGCGAGGUGAAGCCAAUCCCAUAAAAUCGGUCUCAGUCCGGAUUGGAGUCUGCAACUCGACUCCAUGAAGUUGGAAUCGCUAGUAAUCGUGGAUCAGCAUGCCACGGUGAAUACGUUCCCGGGCCUU
Molecule: ribosomal RNA, 468 nt
Filed under: uncultured Desulfobulbus sp.
Lineage: Bacteria; Pseudomonadati; Thermodesulfobacteriota; Desulfobulbia; Desulfobulbales; Desulfobulbaceae
Description: bacterial SSU rRNA
Rfam family: Bacterial small subunit ribosomal RNA
Source: RNAcentral